RNAcentral lists this long non-coding RNA (817 nucleotides) under Fukomys damarensis (Damara mole-rat). Its description in RNAcentral is "lncRNA (ENSFDAG00000023207.1)". The record is from RNAcentral. Lineage: Eukaryota; Metazoa; Chordata; Mammalia; Rodentia; Bathyergidae.
GGAUUAGGAUGACAGCACAGGAAUUUGGAGGCUGCACAGUUAUUUAGGCCAUAGCAAAAGCGACCUGAUAUAGAGGUUGGCAAAUUGGGGAAAUUGACUAGAAGAUUGCCAAAAGAGUUUAGAAGCUACAAAGGAGAAAAUUAACCCCUUGGGUCUCAGAUUAGGUACCUGUCUUAUGGGACUGUGGCUGACAGAAGCUGAUGCUGAUACUGGAGACAAAAGAAUCUGAGGAACUCAUCAUUUUUAUGCAGUGGCUAAAAACUAGAGAACAACCUCAUUUCCCUCCCUUUCACUUUUGGGGCUGGAGUCACACCUCAGUCUUUUCUCAAGACACAUCUCAGAGGACGGACACCAGAGGAAGGUUGCCUUUUAUCCACUGCUAAAGAGAAAUAUCAAACAGUUCAAAUCACUGGAUAGGUAAAGAAAAAUAAAGAGGAAAUCUAAGCAUCUCUCCAGCGCUCUGAGGCUGGAGUCAGGACGGGAAGUUGUGCAGGCAGCAGACAUGGCUGUGAGCUGGAACAGAAGGCCUGUGUGAGCGCAAGGGCCAAAUACUGCAUCUCAUCGAGCAAGUUUAAUAGGCUCGGGGGGCCUCGCAUUGAAGUUGGAACACAUCUUAAAAAGGGAGAGAAAUAAAACUCUGAUCCACUGUGUAGCGGGGAUUAUUCUUUGCUUCAAGUUUUAUUUGAAAGAACUGAAAGACAAGGUCCAGAAACCCUGGACUCUGACUUGGUGAAAAAUAAUCAAACAAAGCAUUUAUUUUCAGUCACUUCAAAGGACUUCUAUGAUGCUGAGGUGAGAAAGAGGCCGGAAAGCAAGG